This 915-nucleotide ribosomal RNA is filed under the name uncultured archaeon. Its description in RNAcentral is "SSU rRNA". It matches the Rfam family "Archaeal small subunit ribosomal RNA", at positions 1 to 922 of the family's 1478-position model. The record is from RNAcentral.
UUUCCGGUUGAUCCCGCCGGACCUGACUGCUAUCGGAUUGAUACUAAGCCAUGCGAGUCUUUGCAGUAAUGCAAGGCAUACGGCUCAGUAACACGUAGUCAACUUACCCUAUGGACGAGGAUAAUCUCGGGAAACUGAGCAUAAUACUCGAUAGAUCAUAAUGCCUGGAAUGGUUUAUGGUUGAAAUGAUUCGUCGCCAUAGGAUGGGACUGCGGCCUAUCAGCUUGUUGGUGAGGUAAUGGCCCACCAAGGCGAUUACAGGUACGGGCUCUGAGAGGAGAAGCCCGGAGAUGGGUACUGAGACAAGGACCCAGGCCCUAUGGGGCGCAGCAGGCGAGAAAACUUUGCAAUGUGCGAAAGCACGACAAGGUUAAUCCGAGUGAUUUCUGCUAAAGAAAUCUUUUGCAAGUCAUAAAACCACUAGUGAAUAAGGGGUGGGCAAGUUCUGGUGUCAGCCGCCGCGGUAAAAUCAGCACCUCAAGUGGUCAGGAGGAUUAUUGGGCCUAAAGCAUCCGUAGCCGGCUCUGUAAGUUUUCGGUUAAAUCCAUGUGCUCAACGCAUGGGCUGCCGAAAAUACUGCAUAGCUAGGGAGUGGGAGAGGUAGACGGUACUCGGUAGGAAGGGGUAAAAUCCUUUGAUCUAUCGAUGACCACCUGUGGCGAAGGCGGUCUACCAGAACACGUUCGACGGUGAGGGAUGAAAGCUGGGGGAGCAAACCGGAUUAGAUACCCGGGUAGUCCCAGCUGUAAACGAUGCAGACUCGAUGAUGCAUUGGCAUAUAGCCAGUGCAGUGUCGCAGGGAGGCCGUUAAGUCUGCCGCCUGGGAAGUACGUACGCAAGUAUGAAACUUAAAGGAAUUGGCGGGGGAGCACCACAAGGGGUGAAGCCUGCGGUUCAAUUGGAGUCAACGCCGGG